AAAACCAAAAGCGAAACCGAAAAACAGUGACACCCCCAGAAGAAAAAGCCGACUUUUUUACUUUUUUUUUUUUUUUUUUUUUUU
This 84-nucleotide non-coding RNA is filed under the name Partenskyella glossopodia. Lineage: Eukaryota; Cercozoa; Chlorarachniophyceae. The record is from RNAcentral.